RNAcentral lists this ribosomal RNA (368 nucleotides) under uncultured organism. RNAcentral describes it as "bacterial LSU rRNA". It matches the Rfam family "Bacterial large subunit ribosomal RNA", at positions 2099 to 2465 of the family's 2925-position model. The record is from RNAcentral.
CUUUACUGUAGCCUGGUAUUGGGUUCGGGCUUUGACUGCGCAGGAUAGGUGGGAGACUGAGAAGUGUGCCUUGUGGGGCACAUAGAGUCAACGGUGAGAUACCACUCUGUCAGAGCUAGAAUUCUAACCCUUCGCCGUGAUCCGGCAGGGGAACAGUAUCAGGGGGGCAGUUUGACUGGGGCGGUCGCCUCCUAAAAGGUAACGGAGGCGCGCAAAGGUGUUCUCAGGCUGGUUGGAAAUCAGCCGUAGAGUGUAAAGGCAGAAGAACGCUUGACUGUGAGAGUGACAACUCAAGCAGGGUGGAAACACGGCCUUAGUGAUCCGACGGUAUGCGCGUGGAAGUGCCGUCGCUCAACGGAUAAAAGUUA